GAUGAACGCUGGCGGCGUGCCUAAUACAUGCAAGUCGAGCGAACAGACGAGGAGCUUGCUCCUCUGACGUUAGCGGCGGACGGGUGAGUAACACGUGGAUAACCUACCUAUAAGACUGGGAUAACUUCGGGAAACCGGAGCUAAUACCGGAUAAUAUAUUGAACCGCAUGGUUCAAUAGUGAAAGACGGUUUUGCUGUCACUUAUAGAUGGAUCCGCGUCGCAUUAGCUAGUUGGUAAGGUAACGGCUUACCAAGGCGACGAUGCGUAGCCGACCUGAGAGGGUGAUCGGCCACACUGGAACUGAGACACGGUCCAGACUCCUACGGGAGGCAGCAAUAGGGAAUCUUCCGCAAUGGGCGAAAGCCUGACGGAGCAACGCCGCGUGAGUGAUGAAGGUCUUCGGAUCGUAAAACUCUGUUAUUAGGGAAGAACAAAUGUGUAAGUAACUAUGCACGUCUUGACGGUACCUAAUCAGAAAGCCACGGCUAACUACGUG
RNAcentral lists this ribosomal RNA (497 nucleotides) under uncultured bacterium. RNAcentral describes it as "partial 16S ribosomal RNA". It matches the Rfam family "Bacterial small subunit ribosomal RNA", at positions 28 to 507 of the family's 1533-position model. The record is from RNAcentral.